RNAcentral lists this long non-coding RNA (1160 nucleotides) under Monodelphis domestica (gray short-tailed opossum). RNAcentral describes it as "lncRNA (ENSMODG00000046124.1)". Lineage: Eukaryota; Metazoa; Chordata; Mammalia; Didelphimorphia; Didelphidae. The record is from RNAcentral.
CUAAAUGGUGAUCCCAUUGAGCGGGUCCCCCAGACCACAUGGAGCUGGUUGCUGCUUGAGAUUCUCAGGGCUGGGCUGUUUUCUCAGAGAGCUGAGCAGCUCUUUUCAAGGCCCGGCCAAGUGACCACAAACCCAGACUGGGUUGGCUCCAUUCCACUAAUUGCUUUCCAAAGGGAAGAGGCCCGAAUGUCCCAGAUUUCACAAGGAAGGCUGCUGCCAUGUGGGGCUGCGGUUACCAAAUGGCUCUGCUUGCUGAGGAGUCAUGUUUCCAGAUAAUGAGGGGUUAUUUAUUACACCACAGGACCAGAAGACUUUCCCUUGCUUUGUGAGCAUGGUGAGUUGAAGACGCCUUUCAUGUUGAAUUAAAUUUGAUAUCAGGGGCAACACACACAAAAUCCAUCCCAAGAUAGAUUCUCCCCCUUUCCUUCUUCCUCUUUUUUAUCCUCCUUUCUUUCCUUCUUUCUCUCCUCCUUACCCCUUCUUCCUUUCUCCUUUCCUCUUUCCUUCUUUUCUCCUUUUCCUCCUUUCCUUCUUCCAUUUCCCCUUUCCCUUUUCCUCUCUUUUUCCUUUCCCCCUUUCCUUCUUUCUCUUUCUCCUUUCUUCCUUUCCUCCUUUCCUCCUUUCUUUCUUUCUUUCUUUCUUUCUUUCUUUCUUUCUUUCUUUCUUUCUUUCUUUCUUUCUUUCUUUCUUUCUUUCUUUCUUUCUUUCUUUCUUUCUUUCUUUCUUUCUUUCUUUCUUUCUUUCUUUCUUUCUUUCUUUCUUUCUUUCUUUCUUCCUUCCUUCCUUCCUUUUUUUUUGUAACUUUCUUUCUUUCUUUCUUUCUUUCUUUCUUUCUUUCUUUCUUUCUUUCUUUCUUUCUUUCUUUCUCUUCUUUCUCUUCUUCUUCUUUCUUUCUUUCUUUCUUUCUUUCUUCUUUCUUUCUUCUUCUUCCUUUCUUUCUUUCUUUCUUUCUUUCUUUCUCUUCUUUUCUUUCUUUCUUUCUUUCUUUCUUUCUUUUUUCUUUUCUUUUCUUUCUUUUCUUUCUCUUCCUUCCUUCCUUCCUUCCUUCCUUCCUUCCUUCCUUCCUUCCUUCCUUCCUUCCUUGCAGAAAAGCACAAUUUAGAGUAUGAGAAUAAUGACAUUAUUAUAUUGCUAGUUCACAGUGUUAAACAAGUAAUAAU